RNAcentral lists this unclassified non-coding RNA (329 nucleotides) under soil metagenome. Its description in RNAcentral is "partial contains 5.8S ribosomal RNA, internal transcribed spacer 2, and large subunit ribosomal RNA". The stretch from base 1 to 120 matches the Rfam family "5.8S ribosomal RNA", at positions 35 to 154 of the family's 154-position model. The record is from RNAcentral.
GAUGAAGAACGUAGCGAAAUGCGAUAAGUAAUGUGAAUUGCAGAAUUCAGUGAAUCAUCGAAUCUUUGAACGCACAUUGCGCCCCCUGGUAUUCCGGGGGGCAUGCCUGUCCGAGCGUCAUUACAACCCUCAAGCUCAGCUUGGUAUUGGGCCCCGCCGACCCGGCGGGCCCUAAAGUCAGAGGCGGUGCCGUCCGGCUCCGAGCGUAGUAAUUCUUCUCGCUCUGGAGGUCCGGUCGUGUGCUCGCCAGCAACCCCCAAUUUUUUUCAGGUUGACCUCGGAUCAGGUAGGGAUACCCGCUGAACUUAAGCAUAUCAAUAAGCGGAGGA